This 175-nucleotide ribosomal RNA is filed under the name uncultured bacterium. Its description in RNAcentral is "partial 16S ribosomal RNA". It matches the Rfam family "Bacterial small subunit ribosomal RNA", at positions 335 to 529 of the family's 1533-position model. The record is from RNAcentral.
AUCGUACGGGAGGCAGCAGUGGGGAAUAUUGCACAAUGGGGAAACCCUGAUGCAGCAACGCCGCGUGAACGAUGAAGGCCUUUGGGUCGUAAAGUUCUGUUCUAGGUGAUGAAAACUGACAGUAACCUAGGAGAAAGCCCCGGCUAACUCCGUGCCAGCAGCCGCGGUAAUCGAU